UUCUCGUUAUUCUUCGUUAGAUUCUCUCUACAUAUUGUAUUGAUUCUGCAAUAAUUAUUAGAAUAUUGUAAAACACGAUUUUAUAAUUUUUAUUUGUAAAUUUUACAGGUUAAUAUGUGAUAAUUGCUUGAAGGUUUAAUGAUAUUUAGUUUUUCCUAUAAUAUAAUUGAGUAAUUAGUCUAAACAUGUUCUAGUCUUACCCUCGAUGAAUGACGAUGAUUUCUUCUCAUAUGUUCUAGUCUUAGCCUUGAUGGAUAUAGUUACUUGAUAACUGUGGAGCCUCUAUGGAUAGAGUUACCCGAUACCUGUUGCUUUGGGAGGUGGCGCAGGUUAAAAGAGGAAAGUAUAAAUUAUCAUAAUUUUUGGCCAGAGCCAAUAUUUGAACCUUAUUGGUUCUGGAUUCUAGUACAUGGCCUCAACCCUCAAGUGCAAGUAACUGAAUUCUGAAUUUAAUUUUUGCGCAUAUUUAGUGAUUCUUUUAACACAGGUACACCGUUUAGAUCAAAGCUACUAUGUUAUGCCGAAUCCACAUGUAUGUACUACAUCUGCUCUGCUGUUUUUAGCAGAUGCUAACUCAGUACAAACACUGGCCUAAUUGGUGAAGCGACAAGGUUUAAAAGAUAAAACUCUCAUUUCCUCAUGAAAAAUGUAAUGACUGCAUGAGAGCACAUUUUUUCAUCAAUCUGAUGUAGGUGAAAAUUCAGAAGCUAUUCAUAUGAAAAAUUGCCAGGUUUUUUUUCUAGUUAUCAAACCUUAACAGUUGGUAAGUCUUUUCUGAAGUGCUAGAUUUCCAGCAAUAGAAAGAAAUAUAAAACGAUUUUUAGUGCUAGUCAAGAUUUUGGAAAAAUAGAAAGUUCAGUGCUCUUUGAAAACUCAACAAAUCAUCAAUGCUUUUCCAAUGCAAUAGAGUAAAUCACGAAGACUCUGUCCAAUCAGCAUCUGGAGUACUAGUUUUAUCAGGUAUUACACACAUCUGUAUCUUAGUUACCAGGCACAGGAUGUAAAAACAAUGUUCAAAUGUAGCAAAGUAAAAUCAAGUAUCAUAGAAGACAUUAUUGUUGGAAUGAAUUUAGUAAAGGAAGCAGUAAGGUGCAACCGAUUCCCAUUUUUGCCAUCUGUGGUUCAAGCAUUUGAAUCUUCGUCUGAUCUUCCGCGAUAUGCUCAUUCAGAUAUCUAUUAGACAGGAGCUUUAAGCCUGCGAACUGUCAUCUGCUGUUUCAGACUUUCUAUCCUUGUCGAGAUUGCCUGCAAAAUUCAUGAGUGGCAAGUGGAAUUUUCUGUGGUGUGGAUAGUGGGAGCAGACUCGGAGAACUUCCCAGUCAUGAUGCGGUUACACCAAGGGUUGACUCUUAGCCCCUUUCCGCUCUGGUUAUGAUGGAUGUACUGACAUGGCAUAUCCAAGAUAGGCUGUCAUGGUGUAUGUUAUUCGUAGAUGACAUAGUACUGAUUGAUGAGACUCACAGUGGAGUUAAAUGCUAGGCUGGAGGUUCAAAGACAAACUCUGAAGUCUAAAGGGUUCAGGCUGAGCAUGACCAAGACUGAAUGCUUGGAAUGUAAGUUCAGUGAUGCUACACAUGAAAUCGGUGUGGAAGUGAGGCUUGACACUCAUGUCAUCCCCAAGAGAAGAUGUUUCAAGUGUAUGGGGUCUUUAAUUCAAGCUAGUGUAGAGAUCAAUGAUGACAUCACACAUUGUAUUGGUGUGGGAUGGGCGAAAUAAGAUGGCCUCCGGUGUCUUAUGUGUUAAAAAGGUACUGCCAAGACUUAAAAUUAACUGAGGAUGAUCCUACUGAAACUAAGCUUGGUAUGCUAUUCAUUUCCUCUUCAAGACAAGCUGAAGAUCCCUCCUGUCCAGAAACCUCUACUCCAACUUGUAGCCUUUGGUUAUCUCGAGCUAAGAGACGCGGAUUCAUCUCAGCAGGUGAGAGUUGAAGUUCAUACAGGUGGCUCCGUGACUGAUAAUUGGAUAAAUUUCUUAUUUGGAACAUUUAUUGAGCAACAGGCAUUAUCUUCUUCCAUUGGAGAUAGAGACGUCGAGCGUUCUGUAGUAGUAGUUGGUGAUACGAGCAGCAUAGCUCCAAGACCAAUCUCAUUAGGAGGAAUGUAUUUGUUCCUUGCAUAAAUUAGAGUAGCAUCUUCACCACCGUCUGGAUUCCAGAGAGGAUCUUUGUCUGCUUCUCCCAACAAAAGGUGAGAGUUGAAGUCCAUACAGGUGGCUCCGUGAUUGAUAAUUGGAUGAAUUUCUUAUUUGAUAUCCUAUUAUGGUCUUAGCAACCGUUUUAUUGUUUAAUCGACUUGGUUAUGAAUGUUUCCUUUCUUAGAAUUAGGGGAAAAAACAAGGAAGAAAUUGUACAAGCUAGCCAAGGCGAUGGAGAGGAGGGCACGUGACCUGGACCAAGUGACGUGCAUCAAGGACGAGGUCGACGAAGUAUUGGUUUAGGAAACACUCAUUAGACGAAGUUGAUAGUCAUACUUCUAUUUACUCUUGAAUGAACCGGAGGACAUUCUGGUGGGAGAUAUAGUGCACUCCGAGAGGUUUCACGAUUUUGGGUAUUGUAGGUGUAUAAAGGUUGAAAAGGUUAAGGAUGCUAUUCGUAGGAUUCACAAGGAAGAGCGAACGGUACUGAUGAGAUUCCGAUGGAAUUUUGGAAGACGGUGGGUAGGACAUGUAUGGAGUCUUUGGCUAGGUUGUUUAAUAUUGUUUUUAAGACCGUGAAAAAGGCAAAAGAAUGGAUGUGAAGUACAAUGAUCCAUUUGUACAAGAACAAAGGUGACAUUUCUUAAUUGCAACAACUAUAGGGGCAUCAAGAUCCUAAGCUACAUUAUGAAAGUUUGGGAGAUGGUGGUAAAGAUGAAGGUUAGGAGGGGUAUGUUUAUUUUCGAGAAUCAAUAUAGAUUCAUGUAAGGGCGCUUGACUACAAAAGUCAUUCAUCUUUUAAAGAGAUUGGUGGAGCUGUAUAGAGAGCGGAAAAGGACUUGCACUUGGUGUUCAUUUACCUAGAAAAUGCUUACGACAAAGUCCCAAAAGAGGUCUUAUGGAGAUGCUUGGAGGCUAGAAUCUUACCUGUGUUGUAUGAUCAAGUAGAUUUAUGUUGGAACUAAGAUAAGGAUAAGGACAUAGAGAGGAGACUGAGAGAACUUUCCAAUUGUGAUGGGGUUGCACGAGGGAUUAACUUUUAGCUUGUUUUUAUUUGCUUUGGUGAUUGAUGAAUUGACAUGGUACUAAGGUGAGGUGCCAUGGUGUAUGUUAUAUGUGGAUGACAUAAUUCUAAUUGACGAGACUCACGUAGGAGUUAACGCUGAGCUAUAGGUUUGGAGACAAACUGCAGAGUUUAAAGGGUUCAGGUUGAGCAUGAUCAAGACAUAAUACUUUGAGUCCAAGUUUAUUGACGUAACCAUGAGACUCACAUGGAAGUGAGGCUUGAUACCAGGACAUCCAAAAGAGAGGAAGUACCAAGUAUCUUGGGUCUAUUAUCUAAAGAUACAUGAAUGAUAUCACACAUCGUAUUGUUGCAAAGUGGAUGAAAUAGAGGUUCGCUUUUGAAGUUUUGUGUGAUUAAGAGAAGGUGCCACCAAAACUUAAAGGCAUGUUCUAUAGAGUUUGACCAACUUUGUUGUAUGGGGCGGAAUGUUCGACAAGGUGGAGAUAGCCUCUAUCGCUUUUCUUCCCCGAAGCCAGGCAUAGAAGAAAAAAGUGUGCGUUUAUACUACUGAAGCGAGAAGAGAGAAAGGAACGAAAGGCGCGUAUUAGCGAGUUCGACUGCUGCGACGGGUUUUAUAUUAAAAUUUUGUUAAACAUACUCAUGCGACUUCUCUUCCUAAAUAUCUGCUUAGAGUUCGACUGCUAGGAGCCUGCGAUUUCUCUUCACGAUGCAGGUUCUCUCAAUCAAAUAAUUGACAUUGGCUACGAUUUGGAUGGUCUCCCCGGCUCAAUGGAAAGACAACCCCUUUCUAUACGUCAUAAAAUCAUGCCUUUCCUCCAAAUACCAUUUGCGCAAGUCAAACUCAUGAUAGGCGAGCAAAAUCACAUGCAUAUGGUUUAGCGGUUUGCUGUGCUCUGUGUUCUUAUUCUUCUCCAACACCCUAUGUGUCAUGCUUCUUUAGCUUAGUAGGACUUUAAACACGCUAUUGUGUGAAAGAAACACACAUGUUCUGGCUUAGCCUCUGUCUCUUUGUAAUGAUUUAACAAAGUGACCAUACCUAUUAGUCUUGAACCAUCAAUUAAGCAAUUUCUCUAGUAUUUAAUAAGAAAGGGACUUGGAUAUUUGUUGUUUAAUUUUAUAUCGAGAAGUAUUUGAUUUUCAUCUUGA
Solanum tuberosum (potato) is the source of this 4307-nucleotide RNA transcript. RefSeq lists it as uncharacterized. The record is from RefSeq and is a predicted model, not a curated record. NCBI's taxonomy places the organism in Eukaryota, Viridiplantae, Streptophyta, Magnoliopsida, Solanales, Solanaceae. The transcript is spliced from 10 exons.